This is a long non-coding RNA of Silurus meridionalis, 1179 nucleotides long. RefSeq lists it as uncharacterized. NCBI's taxonomy places the organism in Eukaryota, Metazoa, Chordata, Actinopteri, Siluriformes, Siluridae. The transcript is spliced from 2 exons. The record is from RefSeq and is a predicted model, not a curated record.
CACUCAGGCACUAAUCUCUAAAUAAUGCAAGACAGUUGAGAUUACUGUAUGGGAAGAAGAGAAUGAAAACGACAGAGCGAAUUCGGACUAUGACGUAAAUAUUGUGCGCCGGAGAUCAAAGGCGGGUGGAAAAGUAGAACAUUGCACAGAUCAACAACUUCAAGAACGAUCGAAUGAAUGAACCAAACGUCAAUACAGGAAAGUCAGCAAUUUUGUUAUGAGUAUUUACUCUAUGCAGCAUCACCCUUUGAUUAAGCCGAAAAAAAAAAAAAAUCACUUGCACUUUGUGUUACUCAUUUUCAGUGACGGGCCGUGCAUUUCACAUCGAGCACCAACCUUCAAUCCAACUCUUAACACCAUCAUUAUAACACCACGGGUACAGAAACCAACAACGUUAUAAAGAAGUGCAGUAGAACAGAGCGCUGCAUCACACAGGAAUCUCAUACAGUGAGAAUGAACGUCAUCAUUAAAGCAAGAAACCCAAUGAUCACAAUUCACCACGUCUCCUUUCACUGGAGCCACAACUGCACCUCCACAUACAUCAUCUCCAGCAGGAGCAUCGAUAUUCACCUCACCACAUCACCACUGCAUUUUUUUAUGCUUUUUUUCCGUGCAUUACGGUUUUCUUGGGAAUUUAAAAUGCAGGUAGAUUGUGUGUUUUUGUGCAAAUGUUUACAGGAAAGAAACAGCAAAAGUAUAAAUGAUUUGUGAAGAAGCUUUGCAGCUUUUUGUUUAUAAAAAAUGUCAUAAAGAUCAAAGGGAAUUUCUUCUCUCUGUCAGACAUUGGGGAACGAAAAAACAACUAUUAAAUCCACAUAAAAAUAUUUGAGCUUGUGCAGUUUGCUACAGAUGUAGGUUGUGAGCUCUGACUCGUGCGCUCUUUGUGCAGUUUGCUACAGAUGCAGGUUGCGAGCUCUGACCCGUGCGCUCUCUGACCAAUCGAAGGACGUGAAAAUACAGACGGCUGAUUUAAUAGAGUAUAUUUUUUUUGGGGCACCAUUUUCAUGCAUCAUUAUUCAUAUUGACAGGUUAAUAUUUCCAGCAUUUGUCCUUCUUUCAAUAGCUGUUCUAACAAAGAUCUGAGUGUGUUAUGCUCAAGCCUACCUUGUUCUUGCAGUUUCUUGGUUAGCUUGGGAUAUUUGUUAAACUUAAUGAAAUAAAAGCUUUCAUACUCCAUGA